UAAGGAAUAUUGGUCAAUGGACGCAAGUCUGAACCAGCCAUGCCGCGUGAAGGAUGAAGGACCUCUGGAUUGUAAACUUCUUUUAUCUGGGACGAAAACGGGAUUUUUAUCUCAAUUGACGGUACCAGAGGAAUAAGCACCAGCUAACUCCGUGCCAGCAGCCGCGGUAAUACGGAGGGUGCGAGCGUUAUCCGGAUUUACUGGGUUUAAAGGGUGCGUAGGUGGGCUUAUAAGUCAGUGGUGAAAUCUCCGAGCUUAACUUGGAAACUGCCGUUGAUACUAUAGGUCUUGAAUUAUCUGGAGGUAAGCGGAAUAUGUCAUGUAGCGGUGAAAUGCUUAGAUAUGACAUAGAACACCAAUUGCGAAGGCAGCUUACUACAUAUAAAUUGACGCUGAGGCACGAAAGCGUGGGGAUCAAACA
Molecule: ribosomal RNA, 421 nt
Filed under: uncultured bacterium
Lineage: Bacteria
Description: bacterial SSU rRNA
Rfam family: Bacterial small subunit ribosomal RNA
Source: RNAcentral